This 355-nucleotide transfer-messenger RNA is filed under the name Szabonella alba. RNAcentral's name for it is "Alphaproteobacteria transfer-messenger RNA". It matches the Rfam family "Alphaproteobacteria transfer-messenger RNA". Rfam says of the family: Bacterial tmRNA, also known as 10Sa RNA or SsrA, is named for its dual tRNA and mRNA-like properties. The record is from Rfam by way of RNAcentral. Lineage: Bacteria; Pseudomonadati; Pseudomonadota; Alphaproteobacteria; Rhodobacterales; Paracoccaceae.
CCCAUUGCACCCCGCUGCACCGCCCCCUAUAUUGGGUCUGUUCGGGCUUGCCCGGACUAUGGCGAUAAACGCACCUGUAAUAAUCGGAUCGGACCCGGGGGCGGUACCCGGCGGCUCCACCAAUCACCCGGCAUUGCGGGCGGACGGGGCCGAAACAGGAUCGACGAACGACUAAAGAGGCCAGCUUUCGCUCGGUGAGGUACCACCGUUAUCGGUCCGAAAAGUACAGUUGCCAAUGACAACCGUGCUCCGGUCGCUCUGGCUGCGUAAGCAGUUCGAGAGAUCGAAACUUAAGCCCUUGCGCUUAGCCGCGUAAGGCGGGGUCCGCAGGCACCUGGCAACAGAAGCCUGCACU